GGCGGCUCGAGUGGUAACCGUUAUUAUUGGGUCUAAAGGGUCUGUAGCCGGCCGGAUAAGUCUCUUGGGAAAUCCAGCAGCUCAACUGUUGGGCUUUCAGGAGAUACUGUCUGGCUCGAGGCCGGGAGAGGUGAGAGGUACUUCAGGGGUAGGGGUGAAAUCUUGUAAUCCUUGAAGGACCACCAGUGGCGAAGGCGUCUCACCAGAACGGACCUGACGGCAAGGGACGAAAGCUAGGGGCACGAACCGG
RNAcentral lists this ribosomal RNA (250 nucleotides) under uncultured euryarchaeote. RNAcentral's name for it is "partial 16S ribosomal RNA". It matches the Rfam family "Archaeal small subunit ribosomal RNA", at positions 478 to 727 of the family's 1478-position model. The record is from RNAcentral. Lineage: Archaea; Methanobacteriati; Methanobacteriota.